This is a long non-coding RNA of Mauremys reevesii (Reeves's turtle), 464 nucleotides long. RefSeq lists it as uncharacterized. The transcript has 4 exons. NCBI's taxonomy places the organism in Eukaryota, Metazoa, Chordata, Testudines, Geoemydidae. The record is from RefSeq and is a predicted model, not a curated record.
CUUGGAACUACGGUGCAGACAUUUAUCCAGCAGGCUACAGUCUUUUGUUGGCAUCCCUGGAGUUUAAUGAGAUACGCAGGAGACUGAAUCCCCAGGAGGCCUUUCUAACUUGGAGAACAAAGACAAUUCUUUGGGAAUAUAAGGGACAGAGAGACUCCAUCUUGCACUUAAGAAUACUAGAGAAACCAGCACCUCCAUAGUUCUGUGGAAGGUCCUGACCGAGAGAAUGUCAGCCCUGCUGGACAAAGAAUAUUGAAAAGAAGUCAUGGAAGAGCAGAGAUGUGUAUAAUAGCGACUAGGUCACCCAACUUGCUUCCAUCAAAGAGAGAAUUCACAGCACUGCAGAGACAAGUACAUUGCCCUCCUGGCACUGAUACAGCAGCAGCCACCAGCAACUCCCACUAUGACCCAGAGGCAGCACAGUCCUGUCCCCUGACCUCCACCCCAGCUCAGCAGAGACCAGG